CGAGAAAAACAGCUUGUUGAUUCCAAGAAAUUGGGGUAGGAAAGUCCGGACAUCACAGAGCAGCAUAAAGGUUAACAACCUUCCGUCGUGAGACGAGGACAAGUGCAACAGAAAGCAAGUACAGUUCGGCUGUAGUGAAACCAGGUAAACUCUAUGCGAUGCAAUGGUAAGUAUAUCGAUGCUUUUUAGAGCAAUCUAAAAAUAGGAGUAGCUCGCUCCGAAAAUCGAGGGGUAACCAGCUCAAGGUUUGCAGUAAUGUAAACCGUAGAUAAAUAACAAGCGUCCCGUUUCAUCGGGAAACAGAAUCCGGCUUAUCGUUUUUCUCGUGGU
Molecule: non-coding RNA, 330 nt
Organism: Cloacibacterium normanense
Lineage: Bacteria; Pseudomonadati; Bacteroidota; Flavobacteriia; Flavobacteriales; Weeksellaceae
Rfam family: Bacterial RNase P class A
About the family: Ribonuclease P (RNase P) is a ubiquitous endoribonuclease, found in archaea, bacteria and eukarya as well as chloroplasts and mitochondria. Its best characterised activity is the generation of mature 5'-ends of tRNAs by cleaving the 5'-leader elements of precursor-tRNAs.
Source: Rfam